UCCCUGGAGGUCUAUUGGUUAGGCCCCCGGCGUUCUCACCGCCGCGGCCCGGGUUCGAUUCUCAGCCAGGGAA
This 73-nucleotide transfer RNA is filed under the name Pangasius djambal. Its description in RNAcentral is "tRNA-Glu". Lineage: Eukaryota; Metazoa; Chordata; Actinopteri; Siluriformes; Pangasiidae. The record is from RNAcentral.